GUGUCGGUAGUGCAACGGGUUAGAGCACGCGUACCCGGAAACGGUGAGAUGCGGGUUCGAGUCUCGUAUGACGCG
Parelaphostrongylus tenuis is the source of this 75-nucleotide non-coding RNA. The record is from the annotation of a GenBank genome assembly. Lineage: Eukaryota; Metazoa; Nematoda; Chromadorea; Rhabditida; Metastrongylidae.